This 854-nucleotide long non-coding RNA is filed under the name Equus caballus (horse). RNAcentral's name for it is "lncRNA (ENSECAG00000031466.3)". Lineage: Eukaryota; Metazoa; Chordata; Mammalia; Perissodactyla; Equidae. The record is from RNAcentral.
AGGCUGAAGACCCACAGACUUUUUCCUUCCUCCUCGGGAUCUCACCUCAGUGUCUGGACAUGCUUGGCCACUAGGCAUGACUAGCUGAGAGAAUAAGAUGGGGCCCAGUGAGCACCUGUUUAAGAGGCAUCUCAACUCUGGAUAACUACGUGGGUCUCAGACUUUAACCCCAUCCUUUUGGUUGGAAGCCAAUUAACUUCUUUAAAGCAAUCAAUGCCAGAAGCAUCGUUUAUUGUGUUCCAAGGCUUGGAAAUUCCUUCCCUAAUGACAUAGUAGAAACUCUGUCGCCACAGUUAAGAGUAGGCUAGAGACAAUUACUAUAUUUAAGACCUGCAUUGCAGGUUAUCAUACCCACAUCUGCAAGCUAUUCCUUUUGUAAAGCAUUUGGGGUAAUUUGCCACAGAAAACUCAUUGGAAAGUGCCAGCAACUACAUGAGGAUCUGUGACUGAAACUAUUCGACGUGGCUAGCAGAAGACAGACGUAUAACUUUCUUUUCAGCAGCUCCACACCCACCCCUGCUUCUUGGAGCCAGGCUCCUCUUAUCGACACAGGAAACCUAUAUUUGGGCUGGAUUGAAGGGGUGGUGAGGAACAAAUCCUCCAGCAGCCACCCACUCACUGGCCUGUGAAAAGAGAGAGGCCGUCCAGAGAGUUGGUCAGCCUGAGUGCUAUCCUCUGCACAAUCUCCCUGACAUUUAUAAAAGAAGAAAAUGAAAGAACAGGACUUCGGCACAGGAUGGCAUUUUCUAACAGAAAUCGGAGAACAUGCUGAGUUCCACUGAAUAUAGGACUGCAUCUGUGGCAUAUGUGGCCUUGAACAAGUGACAACUGCCCUGGGUCCUGGCUCCUUCAUG